RNAcentral lists this long non-coding RNA (348 nucleotides) under Oryza brachyantha (malo sina). RNAcentral describes it as "long non-coding RNA (OBRA_LNC001201)". The record is from RNAcentral. Lineage: Eukaryota; Viridiplantae; Streptophyta; Magnoliopsida; Poales; Poaceae.
GGGUCGCCACGGGAGGCGAGGCCUUCGGCGCCGCGCCGGGGGAGGCCGACGGAGGCUGCGCCGUGGCGGCGACGGCGAGGAGGGCGAGCACGGAGAGGACGGCGAGGUGAGAAGCGGCCAUUGGAGCCCUUGAGGUAGUAGUACUCAGUGAUCUGUGUGAGGGGGGCUCCUCCUGGCUGGGCUGGCUCGCUCCUCUCCUUCUGGCCUCUCUCUCUCGCGGUGAGUGAUGAGCUGAGCUGAGCUGAGCUUUGCGAGAGCUUUCUCUGUGUGCCGGGGUGGUGAGGGGAGGCGGGGCGCUUAUAAAGCGUCAGUCUCCGCGCCGGAGUCGCGUCGCGUCGCGCGCGCCAG